Molecule: non-coding RNA, 4470 nt
Organism: Rattus norvegicus (Norway rat)
Lineage: Eukaryota; Metazoa; Chordata; Mammalia; Rodentia; Muridae
Source: RefSeq, a predicted model, not a curated record
CAAUCAGAGGCACGGGCUUUGGGAAGCUGGUGGUGCUUUGGCUAAGACCUGUGGCUUCCCUGUGGCACCAGUGGAGGAAGAUGCAGCUAGUAUGACACCAUGGCCAAGGUCCACUGGAAUGUCAUCAUCUCUGCAAGUUAGAAAACCAAGGCCAGGAAGUUAAAUGGAAAAGUCUGGAUUUGAAUCAGGAUCCAACCAGUCUCCUUCUCCAGCUCCUCCGGGAAACUGCAAAAUGAUCAAGCAAGUGAGUCUGUGUGGUGUGUUGAGAUUCUUCCUUUGGUGAAAUGGCUUAGAGGAUGGAGAUUCCUGCCACCACGACUAAAAAUUUGGUAACUUCCAGACCGGUGUGGUCAAAGGAGAGAGCUUACUCCUGCAAGUUGUCCUUUGGCAAAAAAUCCCAAAGUCCUAUAAGUGAGUCACUGAUUAUUGACCGAACUCCAGCCAGGCUGCUCUCAGUCCUGCUCUUGACUAGGCUCCAGCCGUGGCCCACAAACCCUUGAACAAACACACAUUUUCUCACAGCUCAAGGCUGCAUUGCGAGAGCCACCCUACCUUUUUCAAAACACCUGGCUGAGAAAGCUCCAAGUUUCCACACGAGGUCACUGUUUGUUCCAGCCAUCGCCUGAAGACAGAGCCCCUGUCCCCCACUGUCUCAGUCAGGGUUUCCAUUCCCUCACAAACAUCACGACCAAGAAGCAAGUUGGGGAGGAAAAGGUUUAUUCAGUUCACACUUCCACAUUGCUGUUCAUCACCAAAGGAAGUCAGGGCUGGAACUGAAGCAGGUCAGGAAGCAGGAGCUGAUGCAGAGGCCAUGGAGGGAUGUUACUUACUGGCUUGCUUCCCCUGGCUUGCUCAGCUUGCUUUCUUAUAGAACCCAAGACCACCAGCCCAGGGACAGCACCACCCACAAUGGGCUGGGUCCUCCCCCUUGAUCACUAGUUGAGAAAAUGCCUUACAGCUGGGUCUCAUGGAGGCAUUUCCUCAACUGAGGGUCCUUCUCUGUGAUAACUCCAGCUUGUGUCAAGUUGACACAUAAAACAAUCAGUAUACCCACCCAGUCUCUGGCAGAGGGUAGGAGCCUCACUUCAUAAGUAUAGUGCCAAAUAGCAAAUUGGACGACAGGAUUCACGUGGACCGAAGCCCUUUCUGCUUCUUGUGAUUGUCCGGACUCCUGCUCAGCUUAAGUUGUCACUGCUUAGUCUCUUCUACACCAUGACCUCUGCCCACAUCCUGUGGAGCUCAGCUUUCUCUGCCCUAAGUGGCUAUGGAAUACGGAUGGUCUGGUGUCCAGCUGUGUCUGCCUUUGUCACACACAUCAAAUGGCCCUGUCAAACAUGUGACCCUUGAAAAAUGGAUCCUUGUUUUCCAAGCAAGGUCUUCACGCACGCAUUCACUGUGGUUCAUGAUUUGCAGGGACAAGCACAUCGACAUGCUUGGAGACUAAGAGCACAGAGGAGCAGAAUUCUGGUGUGGUACAGGUGCUAAUUUUUUUUUUUCGGAGCUGGGGACUGAACCCAGGGCCUUGCGCUUGCUAGGCAAGCGCUCUACCACUGAGCUAAAUCCCCAACCCCACAGGUGCUAAUUUUAAGAGACUUUUCUUUUCAAAAGACUGUCCGUGGGCUGGGGAGAUAGAUCAGUUCAUAGAGUACUUGCCCAGCAAGCUGGGUUCCAUCCCAAGAACCACAAAAACUGGGUGUGGUGGCACAUGCCUAGAAUUCCAGAAGUCUCUAGAAUAUCCACCCAUGAAGAUGUGAAUCAUAUUCUUUUUAAAGCCUUCCUCCUUCCACCUGGUGUAAUUAUUCUGGCUCGGCGCAUGCGCCACGGCCCACUGUUCUAUUUUAUUAUCAUUUAUGUGUCUUCAUAUACGAAAAGAUAAAACUUGAAAUUGUUCCAGAUUUUUUCCUCCUAUUUUGUCAUGUGUAUGUGACUGCUCCUUCACACAGGGGGGUAUACUAAAAUCACCACAGGAAAAGAAGAAAGAUCAACUACAAAUGAAUGAACUAUGAUACAGUGUUCUUUCCAAAAUGUUUGUAUUUUGCAACUUUAGUUACAAGGACAUCUGCUUCAGGCUGUCUUAGGUGUGUGUGUGUGUGUGUGUGUGUGUGUGUGUGUGUGUGUGUGUAUGUAUCUGUGUGUCUCCAUGUGCAUGUGUGUGUGUGUGUGUGUGCAUGUGAUACUCCAGCAGUAUUGCAUGUAUGGUUAUAACAGUUCAUUUAUGCUAUGCACUUACUAGAGGACUGGGCCAUUUCUAGUUUCAACCAUUGCACACAAAGCUGCUGUAAACACCCACAAUGUCUUGUUAUAAAUGCAGGUUUUCAUUUUUCUUAGAAAUUAUAGUUGAAAGUGGAGUUGACCUCUCUCACUCUUCUUCCUCACUCUCACUCUUCCUUCCGCUCUUCCUCUCUCUCUCUCUCUCUCUCUCUCUCUCUCUCUCUCUCUUCCUCUCUUCCUCUCCUGGCUUGACACGAUAAAAAAAAAAAAAAAGAAAGUGGAGUUGAAGAGCCAUUUCAUAACUCUGUAUUUAAUUGUGCUCCCAAUUGCAGUAUUUCUUCUGCCUACAGCCUUGCAUGAGGGUUUCCACUCCUCCAUGUAGCCGUCAACACUGGCUUUCUUUUUUUCUACUUUCUUUUUCUUCUUCUUUCAUUGUUUGUUUGAGACAGGGUUUCUCUAUGUAGCCCCGGCUGUCCUGGAACUCACUAUGUAGCCCAGGCUGGCCUCAGACUCAAAGAUCUGCCUGCUUCUGCCUCCUGAGUGCUGGGAUUAAAGGUGUGUACCACCACCACUGGCCCAGCACUGGCUUUCUGUUGACAGCCACCCCAGCAGGUUGGAACUGGAUUUCACUGAGGUUUUGCUCUGAAUUUCCUCUGAGAGGUGAUGCUGCUAAGGUCAGUAGCUGUUUACACGUCUUUUCCUUAAACAUAAGUGCCGUUUUCUUAUUAAGAUAUAUUUUAUGUAUAGUAAUUGCUUACACACUGAAUAACACUACAAUAACAUGAUUUUAGCAGUUUUAACAGAAGAAGAAGGGAGAACUGGGGUUAUAAAAACCCCUCCCCCCAAAAAAUAAUACGUUAUUUUUUCCUACAUUAUUUUAACUGUGUACGUUUUGCAUCAUGUAUGUCUGUGUACCAUGUGCAUGCAGUACCCAUGGAGGCCAGAAGGGGGCGGUGGAUCCUCUUGGAACUGGAGGCACAGACAGUUGUUGGCGGCCAUAUGGGUGCUGGGUAUGGAACGCCGCUCCUCUGGAAGGGCAGAAAGUUACUUUUUCUAAGGGGGUCAAUGCAGAAACAUAUUCAGUGCCUGGUCAUGCAUAAUUGCUAUUGCACCGAUGGCCAAUAGAAUUUAAAAAGAACCAUUAUGAACUCAACUUCCUGGAUACUAAAGAAGCACACACAUCUUUUGUAGAGUAAUGUCCAUUCAAGUCUUUUGCACUUGCUGUGUUCAUUUUGUAAAACAAUUACUUUAUUUUAUGUGUAUGUGUAGAUUAAAUCCUCUAGAACUGGAGUUAGAGAGUCGUGAUCUUCCUGAUGUGGGUGAUGGGAACCAAACCCUGGAUACCCUGCAAGAAUGGCAGGUAUUCUCAACCACUGAGCCAUCUCUCCAGCCCCACUAUUUCAUUUGCUUGUUUGUUUAUUGAGAUAGGGUCAGGGUGGCCUGGAAUUCACUAAGUACCCCAGCUCUCCUUAAACCCUACCCUCCUGCCUUAUUGUUACGAGUGCUGAGAUUACAUGUGUGCACCAUCACAACUGGAUCUCCUGCUCGUGUCUUUUAUAUUUUAAAUAUUAAUUUUAUCUUACUUUAUGUGUGUGUGACUGUCUUACCUGUAUGUAUGUGUCUAUGUGCAUCACAUGUGUGCAGUCAGAAGAGAGGGUCAGAUCCCCUGGAACUGGAGUUAUAGCUCUUGUGAGUCAUCAUGUGUGUCCUGGGAAUUGAACCUGUGUCCUUUGCUAGAGUGACAAUUGUUCUGAACCACCGAGCCAUCGCUCCACUCGCCAUCGCUCCACCCCCACCUUCCUGUUUCUGUAACAGUCUUGAAUGACAAAAUGAAGACUCGACUAGUGGGUUACAAUGAGGUCAGGGACUAGGGUGGGAGGGGAGAAGGGUGCUAAGUACAGUUUAAAAGAUUGACCUGAAAGAUAUGGUGGUGACAGGCCUGUUCAGCUUGGGUGUGGAGUAGGAUACAGGCUUCAUUGGUCAUUGUCAUAGAAACACAUGUACACAAAGAGUAGGAGAAAAACCAGGGGAACCUGAAUUACAUUAAUAGAUUGUACUGAUGUAACCGUCUUACCUAUGGCUAUGGCAUUGAACUGUAACUUUCUAAAAUGUUACCAAUGCAGGAAUUUGUCUUUUAGAAAAGUUAUGGGAUCUAUAAGUAAUAAGUUUUAUUACUUACCAGGGCAUGUGAAUAUGUAAUUAUUUCCAAAUAAGGUUAAGUUUUAAAAUGCAAUAAAAAAGAAACCCUUAUUAGCCUCA